GACGAACGCUGGCGGCGUGCCUAAUACAUGCAAGUAGAACGCUGAAGGAGGAGCUUGCUUCUCUGGAUGAGUUGCGAACGGGUGAGUAACGCGUAGGUAACCUGCCUGGUAGCGGGGGAUAACUAUUGGAAACGAUAGCUAAUACCGCAUAAUAGUAGAUGUUGCAUGACAUUUGCUUAAAAGGUGCAAUUGCAUCACUACCAGAUGGACCUGCGUUGUAUUAGCUAGUUGGUGGGGUAACAGCUCACCAAGGCGACGAUACAUAGCCGACCUGAGAGGGUGAUCGGCCACACUGGGACUGAGACACGGCCCAGACUCCUACGGGAGGCAGCAGUAGGGAAUCUUCGGCAAUGGACGGAAGUCUGACCGAGCAACGCCGCGUGAGUGAAGAAGGUUUUCGGAUCGUAAAGCUCUGUUGUAAGAGAAGAACGAGUGUGAGAGUGGAAAGUUCACACUGUGACGGUAUCUUACCAGAAAGGGACGGCUAACUACGUG
RNAcentral lists this ribosomal RNA (495 nucleotides) under uncultured bacterium. RNAcentral describes it as "partial 16S ribosomal RNA". It matches the Rfam family "Bacterial small subunit ribosomal RNA", at positions 28 to 507 of the family's 1533-position model. The record is from RNAcentral.